AAAAAGGGCUCAGGACUUUCUAUACUCAAGAGCAGCAAAGCCACACACGGCUGCAGUAUGUAACAGGGUACUGCCUGCGAGCUGUGCUGGGAAAGACUUGUGAUUCAUGAGGCCAGAAGGCAUUGAGGGCUGCACUAAAUAACUUUGGAGUAAGUGCAGAUGGAGUAGGACAUGAAAAGUACAACUUCUUGCUGAAUUGCACAGCUACCCUUGACCUGGCUGUCUUGCCCAACAGACUGUUACUGCUUCUGUUGUCAAGAGACGUCUGUGGCUGCAGAAGAGUCCAGGAUUUGUCUGUGAUAGAAUGACUACAAGUGACCCAGUUCCACAGCAUACACUUGGCCAAUGCCAAACAUGACUUUUGUUGGAACUUGGCUUUUGCGUGCAAAAUAAUUUUGUCUUUAGUUUUUGGUGGUGUUAUUGGGGGAGCAUCAAUAUUUUGCUUGUUAGACACAUU
RNAcentral lists this long non-coding RNA (457 nucleotides) under Phasianus colchicus (ring-necked pheasant). RNAcentral's name for it is "lncRNA (ENSPCLG00000007931.1)". The record is from RNAcentral. Lineage: Eukaryota; Metazoa; Chordata; Aves; Galliformes; Phasianidae.